This 218-nucleotide ribosomal RNA is filed under the name Orchidantha maxillarioides. RNAcentral's name for it is "partial 26S ribosomal RNA". It matches the Rfam family "Eukaryotic large subunit ribosomal RNA", at positions 11 to 227 of the family's 3401-position model. Lineage: Eukaryota; Viridiplantae; Streptophyta; Magnoliopsida; Zingiberales; Lowiaceae. The record is from RNAcentral.
GUCAGGCGGGGCCACCCGCCGAGUUUAAGCAUAUAAAUAAGCGGAGGAGAAGAAACUUACGAGGAUUCCCCUAGUAACGGCGAGCGAACCGGGAUCAGCCCAGCUUGAGAAUCGGGCGGCCGCGCCGCCCGAAUUGUAGUCUGGAGAAGCGUCCUCAGCGACGGACCGGGCCCAAGUCCCCUGGAAAGGGGCGCCGGGGAGGGUGAGAGCCCCGUCCG